UACGGAGGGUGCAAGCGUUGCUCGGAAUUAUUGGGCGUAAAGGGUAGGUAGGUGGUCUUAUUUGUCUGGGGUGAAAGCCUUGAGCUUAACUCAAGAAGUGCCUCAGAAACGGUAAGACUGGAGUCCUGGAGAGGGUCGUGGAAUUCCCGGUGUAGCGGUGAAAUGCGCAGAUAUCAGGAGGAACACCAAUGGCGAAGGCAGCACUCUGGGACGUGACUGACGCUGAGACGCGAAAGCGUGGGGAGCAAACAGG
Molecule: ribosomal RNA, 253 nt
Filed under: uncultured bacterium
Lineage: Bacteria
Description: partial 16S ribosomal RNA
Rfam family: Bacterial small subunit ribosomal RNA
Source: RNAcentral